RNAcentral lists this ribosomal RNA (253 nucleotides) under uncultured bacterium. Its description in RNAcentral is "partial 16S ribosomal RNA". It matches the Rfam family "Bacterial small subunit ribosomal RNA", at positions 524 to 776 of the family's 1533-position model. The record is from RNAcentral.
UACAGAGGGGGCAAGCGUUGUUCGGAAUUACUGGGCGUAAAGCGUGUGUAGGCGGCCACGUAAGUCGGAUGUGAAAGCCCCAGGCUCAACCUGGGAAGUGCACUCGAUACUGCGUGGCUUGAGUAUCGGAGAGGUUGGUGGAAUUCUCGGUGUAGAGGUGAAAUUCGUAGAUAUCGAGAGGAACACCGGUGGCGAAGGCGGCCAACUGGACGAAUACUGACGCUCAUGCACGAAAGCGUGGGGAGCAAACAGG